CAGAGUGCGUUGAGCCUGAUGCUGGGAUGGAGAGUGAAACAGAACUGUCAGAUCAUUCUCAUGAUGUGACGUCAAGUGAGCCAGGUAAAGAUUUGUAAAUGCAUUUUUUUUUAAAGAUGUUUGUAAUUUCCAUUAGUUUAAUAAUAAUUAAAUCAUGCCUUCAAGCAGGCACUUCAGGAGUGAAUAGCAGCAGGCCAGUAAACACGAAUGAAGGAUCUCCAGAGGGGACACGGGAGGUCAUGAAAGUAACAUCAGUUCCUAGGAAGAGAAAGUGGAGUGAGGUGGAGAUUGCGGCUGUAGAAGAGAAAAUGAUGAAAUUUAUUCACUCGGGAGUUACUCCUGGAAAAGUCGACUGCAUUGCAUGCAUUACAGCAGCCCCCAAAGCCCUCGGUGAACGAGACUGGCAGGCGGUGAAGUAUUAUAUAAAAAACAGAAUCACAGCAUAUGAGAGAAAGACCACUAAAAAGUAA
Long non-coding RNA from Cyprinus carpio (common carp), 470 nucleotides. NCBI's taxonomy places the organism in Eukaryota, Metazoa, Chordata, Actinopteri, Cypriniformes, Cyprinidae. The record is from Ensembl.